GAUGAACGCUGGCGGCGUGCCUAAUACAUGCAAGUCGAGCGAACAGACGAGGAGCUUGCUCCUCUGACGUUAGCGGCGGACGGGUGAGUAACACGUGGAUAACCUACCUAUAAGACUGGGAUAACUUCGGGAAACCGGAGCUAAUACCGGAUAACAUGUUGAACCGCAUGGUUCAACAGUGAAAGACGGUCUUGCUGUCACUUCUCGAUGGAUCCGCGCCGCAUUAGCUAGUUGGUAAGGUAACGGCUUACCAAGGCAACGAUGCGUAGCCGACCUGAGAGGGGGAUAGGACACACGGGAACUGAGACACGGUCAAGACUCCUACGGGAGGCAGCAGUAGGGAAUCUUCCGCAAUGGGCGAAAGCCUGACGGAGCAACGCCGCGUGAGUGAUGAAGGUCUUCGGAUCGUAAAACUCUGUUAUUAGGGAAGAACAAAUGUGGAAGUAACUAUGCACGUCUUGACGGUACCUAAUCAGAAAGCCACGGCUAACUACGUG
This 497-nucleotide ribosomal RNA is filed under the name uncultured bacterium. RNAcentral describes it as "partial 16S ribosomal RNA". It matches the Rfam family "Bacterial small subunit ribosomal RNA", at positions 28 to 507 of the family's 1533-position model. The record is from RNAcentral.